This 254-nucleotide ribosomal RNA is filed under the name uncultured bacterium. RNAcentral's name for it is "partial 16S ribosomal RNA". It matches the Rfam family "Bacterial small subunit ribosomal RNA", at positions 524 to 776 of the family's 1533-position model. The record is from RNAcentral.
UACGUAGGGUGCAAGCGUUGUCCGGAAUUAUUGGGCGUAAAGAGCUCGUAGGCGGUCUGUCGCGUCGGCUGUGAAAACCUGGGGCUCAACUCCGGGCCUGCAGCCGAUACGGGCAGACUAGAAUUCGGUAGGGGAGACUGGAAUUCCUGGUGUAGCGGUGAAAUGCGCAGAUAUCAGGAGGAACACCUGAGGUGAAGACGGGUUGCUGGGCUGACACUGACGCUGAUAGCGCGAAAGCCAGGGGAGCAAACGGG